Molecule: non-coding RNA, 204 nt
Organism: Miniopterus natalensis
Lineage: Eukaryota; Metazoa; Chordata; Mammalia; Chiroptera; Miniopteridae
Source: RefSeq, a predicted model, not a curated record
UCAAAAUUGUUAAACUAAUGACCAACCUGUUUCUCUGUGUUCAGGUCAUGUCUAUUUUUACUAGAAAUGAGAACCAUUGCUUCUCGAAGGAAAAAAAGGGUGAAGAAUGCGUGAUUCCUUUCCAUCUGCCUCCCUCCAGCAAGGCAAUCAUCAGGUCUCUUAUGUGCUGAACUGUGUCCUCCCAAAAUUCAUAUGUUGAAGUCC